AUUGCCUCAGUAACGGCGAGUGAAGCGGCAAGAGCUCAAAUUUGAAAGCUGGCUCCUUCGGGGUCCGCAUUGUAAUUUGCAGAGGAUGCUUCGGGAGCGGCCCCCAUCUAAGUGCCCUGGAACGGGCCGUCAUAGAGGGUGAGAAUCCCGUAUGGGAUGGGGUGCCCGCGACCAUGUGAAGCUCCUUCGACGAGUCGAGUUGUUUGGGAAUGCAGCUCUAAAUGGGUGGUAAAUUUCAUCUAAAGCUAAAUAUUGGCCGGAGACCGAUAGCGCACAAGUAGAGUGAUCGAAAGAUGAAAAGCACUUUGAAAAGAGAGUUAAAAAGCACGUGAAAUUGUUGAAAGGGAAGCGCUUGCGACCAGACUCGCCCGCGGGGUUCAGCCGGUAUUCGUACCGGUGUACUUCCCCGUGGGCGGGCCAGCGUCGGUUUGGGCGGCCGGUCAAAGGCCCUCGGAAUGUAACGCCUCUCGGGGCGUCUUAUAGCCGAGGGUGCCAUGCGGCCAGCCCGGACCGAGGAACGCGCUUCGGCUCGGACGCUGGCAUAAUGGUCGUAAGCGACCCGUCUUGAAACACGGACCAAGGAGUCUAACAUCUACGCGAGUGUUCGGGUGUCAAACCCGUGCGCGCAGUGAAAGCGAACGGAGGUGGGAACCCUUUGGGUGCACCAUCGACCGAUCCGGAUGUCUUCGGAUGGAUUUGAGUAAGAGCGUAGCUGUUGGGACCCGAAAGAUGGUGAACUAUGCCUGAAUAGGGCGAAGCCAGAGGAAACUCUGGUGGAGGCUCGCAGCGGUUCUGACGUGCAAAUCGAUCGUCAAAUUUGGGUAUAGGGGCGAAAGACUAAUCGAACCAUCUAGUAGCUGGUUCCUGCCGAA
Molecule: ribosomal RNA, 872 nt
Filed under: Paecilomyces cremeoroseus
Lineage: Eukaryota; Fungi; Ascomycota; Eurotiomycetes; Eurotiales; Thermoascaceae
Description: LSU rRNA
Rfam family: Eukaryotic large subunit ribosomal RNA
Source: RNAcentral